Molecule: ribosomal RNA, 318 nt
Filed under: Vibrio sp. V01_P9A10T6
Lineage: Bacteria; Pseudomonadati; Pseudomonadota; Gammaproteobacteria; Vibrionales; Vibrionaceae
Description: partial 23S ribosomal RNA
Rfam family: Bacterial large subunit ribosomal RNA
Source: RNAcentral
GUCCCUAUCUGCCGUGGGCGUUGGAAGAUUGAAGGGGGCUGCUCCUAGUACGAGAGGACCGGAGUGGACGAACCGCUGGUGUUCGGGUUGUCAUGCCAAUGGCAUUGCCCGGUAGCUAAGUUCGGAAUUGAUAAGCGCUGAAAGCAUCUAAGCGCGAAGCGAGCCCUGAGAUGAGUCUUCCCUGGCACUUUAAGUGUCCUAAAGGGUUGUUCGAGACUAGAACGUUGAUAGGUUGGGUGUGUAAGCGCUGCGAGGCGUUGAGCUAACCAAUACUAAUUGCCCGUGAGGCUUAACCAUACAACACCGAAGGGGUUUUGU